CUUUGCUCAUACAAGCUACAGAACCAUUUAGCACAAACUGCUAUGGUUCAACAUAACGAUGCCUCUGAAUGUUCUUGAAGCUGUUCUCCAGGAGGUGAUACCAGCACAGGGAGACUCAGCUUACCUCACCUUGGCAUUGACCUGCAAGUGCUUUGAAGCCGUUGUGUCUGAGCCAGUUUUCAGGAAGAAGACUCACUUUGCUUGGCUGGAUGGUGAGAUCAACUGGGGCAAAUUUUCAAAAAACAUUCAAGGCAGAAAACCGGAUUCCUUUUGCGGUUGUAACGUGUUUUUCCUGCAACCGGUAAUAUAAAGACUGUGGGCUUCACCGGCAACGGAAGACGAGGAGAGUACCCUGGUUACUACUGUGAUGGCCGACCUGGACACUGCACUGACUGUCAAUACUGAAUGCAAGGAGAAUAUUAGUUGCUUUCCACAGUCUUUCACACAUUUCAGUUGUCACACAUUGUUCGUUUUUUUUGUGACAUGCCAUUUUAAAUCAUUUCUGCUAAAUAAUAUUUGCCUUUUGACUUGUGCAGUCAUCCUUUUUAAUAAUGUGUUCUUUCAAUAUUAUUUACAUUUUUGAAUGUUCCUUUUGUUGUAGCUCAGUUGAUUUACAUUAUUUAGUUUUCACAGAAAUGGUGCCGUUUCCACACAAAGUUACAUUGUGGCUGUAAUUUGUUGGAGAGAGUAGAACCAAUAAAGUAGUUGUAAAUAUAUUGGAACAGCGUUGUUUAGCAAUAGGAUAACCUUGUUUUAA
Xiphophorus maculatus (southern platyfish) is the source of this 757-nucleotide long non-coding RNA. RefSeq lists it as uncharacterized. The record is from RefSeq and is a predicted model, not a curated record. The transcript is spliced from 3 exons. NCBI's taxonomy places the organism in Eukaryota, Metazoa, Chordata, Actinopteri, Cyprinodontiformes, Poeciliidae.